Molecule: ribosomal RNA, 254 nt
Filed under: uncultured bacterium
Lineage: Bacteria
Description: partial 16S ribosomal RNA
Rfam family: Bacterial small subunit ribosomal RNA
Source: RNAcentral
GACGUAGGGUGCAAGCGUUGUCCGGAUUUACUGGGCGUAAAGGGCGCGUAGGCGGCCUCCGCAAGUCGACUGUGAAAUCUCCGGGCUUAACCCGGAAAGGUCAGCCGAAACUGCGGGGCUAGAGUGCAGAAGGGGCAACUGGAAUUCUCGGUGUAGCGGUGAAAUGCGUAGAUAUCGAGAGGAACACCUGCGGCGAAGGCGGGUUGCUGGGCUGACACUGACGCUGAAGCGCGAAAGCUAGGGGAGCGAACGGG